This 442-nucleotide ribosomal RNA is filed under the name uncultured bacterium. RNAcentral describes it as "bacterial SSU rRNA". The stretch from base 1 to 367 matches the Rfam family "Bacterial small subunit ribosomal RNA", at positions 959 to 1325 of the family's 1533-position model. The record is from RNAcentral.
ACGCGAAGACCUNUACCUGGGCUUGAACCGCACCGGACCAUCCCUAGAAACAGGGACUUCCCGCAAGGGACUGGUGUAGAGGUGCUGCAUGGCUGUCGUCAGCUCGUGCCGUGAGGUGUUGGGUUAAGUCCCGCAACGAGCGCAACCCUUACUCGUAGUUGCCACCCGCAAGGGGGAACUCUACGAGGACUGCUCCGGAUAACGGAGAGGAAGGUGGGGAUGAGGUCAAGUCAGCAUGGCCUUUAUGUCCAGGGCCACACACGUGUUACAAUGCGCGCUACAAAGCAUCGCGAGCCCGCGAGGGGGAACAAAUCGAAAAAAAACGCGCACAGAUAGAAUUAGAGACAAACCACUCCAUCGCGUGAAUACCCGUAUAACAAUUAAUAUCGCAUCCGCACAAGCAUCUAGAAACGAUAUACCCAACAUCUACUGCAGAAGAUGA